RNAcentral lists this ribosomal RNA (253 nucleotides) under uncultured bacterium. RNAcentral's name for it is "partial 16S ribosomal RNA". It matches the Rfam family "Bacterial small subunit ribosomal RNA", at positions 524 to 776 of the family's 1533-position model. The record is from RNAcentral.
UACGGAGGGGGCUAGCGUUGUUCGGAAUUACUGGGCGUAAAGCGCACGUAGGCGGCUUUGCAAGUUAGAGGUGAAAGCCCGGGGCUCAACUCCGGAAUUGCCUUUAAAACUGCAUCGCUAGAAUUGUGGAGAGGUAAGUGGGAUUCCGAGUGUAGAGGUGAAAUUCGUAGAUAUUCGGAAGAACACCAGUGGCGAAGGCGACUUACUGGACACAUAUUGACGCUGAGGUGCGAAAGCGUGGGGAGCAAACAGG